AAAAAGAUUUUAUCUUGAUAGAUGAGGAAAUGCAUAAUUUAAAACGAAGGAUUAUGAAGCAAACAGUUUUUUGUCGUCACGCCAUCAUUUCUGACAAAAGUGAUUAAUAUUGUAAAGACUAAAACCGACUUAAAUGUCGAUUUAUCUUUAUUAAACUUUCUAAUUCUGCCGAGAAAUUAAAUCUGAUUGAGCUUGUUCAAGCCUGAAUUAAGAGAAUUACAAGUGAAUCGAAACAGGUUGGACUAUAGACGACACAAACGGGUUUCUUUUCGAAUGAAAAUUAGACAACUCGUGACAACCACUGCUUUGAACAAAGAGGGAAGAGGAGAAAGAAACUCGAAUAGACAGCUAAACUAUAGAAGUUACGUCUCAUGUGGGUACACGAGUUGUACACAUUGCGUUCAAAAUACGAAUGAAUUGAUAUACGUAUUUUCGGAACCGGUUUCUCAUCGACGUUCCCUCGAAUAGGUUCAACAUCGUUACGUCAAAAUGUUUGUUCACGCUAUGCCGUCACCUAAGAAUAAGUGGAGAAAGAAUAAAGGAUAAGGAACAGAGACAAAGAAUAUAGAAUGAAGAGGUCGUUGACGCCAUUUGAGAAGGUAUCGUUCAGUUGAAUCACCAACCAAGCAUCAUUUUUGGCUCGGUUGGUACUUUGAUAUUUCUGUCAUUAUUAAAAUUACGUCUUAUUUUUUGAUACUGGAUAGUUCUAAAAUACAGGUAUAACUAAAAUACCCGGAUAACGCGAUAUUUCUACAACAUGGCACGAGAAUUGUAUAAUUCUGACAAAGCAGUUUGAAAAUUAGAGUAAUAACUGAUCCUCGGUCUAGGAUCCGAGAAGUGUUUCUUUUUUCAAUAUUUUUAUAUUAUUAUACUCGACAAGAGAGAUCUUGUUACAGUAAGAAUACUGUAGUUUUUCAGUUCUGUUCCCCGGAGGUUUAAUUCUGUGAGACAUUUUGAAAAGUCUAAAGAACGAAGAUCUUUCCCGUUCUAUUAAGAGCGUAUAAUAGUGUCGUGGAACGAGCUGUUAAAUCGCCUAGAGAUAUCCUGACUUGUGAAUUAAUCUGUAGCCGUGAACCAAUACCUACCGGAAGUGAAGAUAUUUCUUUCACUUGCUAAUGUGAACCUAACAACCAAGAUUAUUCGUGUUUAAAUAUACUGUGGACAAUGAGUAACUCAUGGAAUAUGUAUUCAAUGAAUUUUCUUCUCAUUGAUCACCAUUUUGCUCCAGCAUAUGAUCCGUCGAAAAAGUAGGAGCACGAUUGAACGAACCUUUAACAGCAAAGCUUUCUUUCACAGUUAUGGGUACGCCAAGAAGAGGCUUUUCACGGGCAAGCUCUUCCUCGGUUGUUGGCGUGCUAGCAAGGAAUUCGUCGACCUUUCGCGCCUCUUCAAUGGCUGUAUCGUAGCGCUGAUCGACGAUGGCAUUUAACACAGGAUUCACGGCUAUACAUCUUUCCACUAACUACGUUAUCGCGGUCUCACUUGUUUCCUACGAAUUGCACGCGCGAUUUUCGUCGCCGAAAUCAGCAACAGGUGAUUCUUAAUCGUCGGUAUUCUUUUUUGCUUCUUGAAGCGCUGCAGCCUUAAAAUUGGCGUCAAAAUACAGGAUAACAGGAGAAAACCGUACUUCAGCAACUUCUGAAUCACCAGGUUUAUCAUAUCC
Molecule: long non-coding RNA, 1663 nt
Organism: Frieseomelitta varia
Lineage: Eukaryota; Metazoa; Arthropoda; Insecta; Hymenoptera; Apidae
Exons: 3
Source: RefSeq, a predicted model, not a curated record